RNAcentral lists this ribosomal RNA (129 nucleotides) under Mola mola (ocean sunfish). RNAcentral describes it as "partial 28S ribosomal RNA". Lineage: Eukaryota; Metazoa; Chordata; Actinopteri; Tetraodontiformes; Molidae. The record is from RNAcentral.
GAAGGUGGGAUCCCGGCCCCUCGGGCUGCCGGGCGCACCACCGGCCCGUCUCGCCCGCUCUGUCGGGGAGGUGGAGCGUGAGCGCGCGCGAUAGGACCCGAAAGAUGGUGAACUAUGCCUGGGCAGGGC